UCACAAUAACAGCUCUCCGUUCUCCGAUAAUGAAACGACAUGCAGAUCCUCUAACCGUCUUGUCGUUCUGGUGCCUCCUUAUCCUCUUACUACCAAUCCUGACCGUCGGAUUUGCUGAUCGUCUACAAGCAUCCGACCCACCUCUCAGUCUGCUCAAAACGGCGCUGCAACAAGAACAAAAACCAGAGGGGAUAAAGAGCCUUCGGGUACGGGAGGGGGCACCGUUUAAGAUCGCGCUCUUUGCUGACUUGCAUUUUGGAGAGAACGCGUGGACUGAUUGGGGCCCACAACAGGACGUUAAUUCCAUCAAGGUCAUGUCCUCUGUUCUCGACGAUGAAUCACCAGGUGAUGAUAUAAUCCUCUUCCUCUCUAAAGUAGAUUUUUUUUUUUUACUUAUACUCUUUUCAAAUGUGGCUAGCAUAGCUUUUAAAUUCAGCCGUCCAUUGAUUAACUUGAUACUCCAUCAGUUUAGAUAGUGAUUGUUCAGUAAUUUAGUGUAAUGUGUUUUUUUAUUUAUAAAUGAAUUAAUUUCUUUUUAUAUUGGUAUGUUAAAAUAUAUUAAUUUGAUAUAUUUUUUUUAUAAAAAAAUAUUUUUAAAAUGCAAUCCAAAUAUAAUUAGAAAUAUAAUAUCUAACAAACACUAAAUCCAAACGAGAUUUAAUAGGGUAAAUUUUAAUUUAAAUUAUUUUAAAUUAUUAAUAUAUUAUUAUUUGAUAAUGAGUGUUUAGUAUUCGUAUAAUGUAUUUUUUAAAAUAAAUCAAAUUUUUUUUUUUUUUAAUAUCAACAUAUUAAAAUUAUUAAAAAAAUAUUAAUUUAAUAUCUUUUAAAAUAAAUAAAUUUUUAAAAUGCAAUUAAAUACAUGUAAAAUUGCAACAUCAAACAAGCAAUAAAUAGGGUAAAUUUUAAUUUAAAUCAUUUUGAGAUUACCAUGUCAGCGGAUUCUUAGCCGGGUUGGAUCCUAGGCCGGGUAUAAAGACAAUUGUAAGCAUGCAUUGUUGCUUAAUAAUAAUAAUAAUCUCAAAGAGUCAAAAUAAUCGAUUUAGCGUGGCGGCGGCGGCGGUCCAACAUUUGAUAUACACUCGGUGUGUUAUAAAUCCCACUUUUUUCCAUGUUAUGAUCUUGCCUAGAAUUAAAUAAAUUUUUUUUCUUGAAUAUAAUGGUUGGCAUAACUUGUAUAAGAGUCAAUCAGACUUACCACACAAAUAGGCUAAUUAAUUUAGUAAUUUUCUUGUCACAAUGUAAUUAAUACGUUCUAUUUUUUCUUAAAUUUGAAUUACAGUUAAUAUAAUACGAGUAUUUAGCAGAUUUUGUGAUAUAUCUUGGGGAUGUAAUAACGGCAAACAACAUACCAAUUGCAAACGCAAGCUUGUAUUGGGAUAAAGCAAUAUCUCCACGAGGGCAAGGGGCAUACCUGUGGGCUAGUGUCUUUGGUAAUCACGAUGAUGCACCAUUUGAGUGGCCAAUGGAGUGGUUUUCUUCUCCUGGAAUUCCUCCUGUUCAUUGCCCUGCACCUAACGCGUCAUCAUGCUCAGGUAAGACUGUAGAGCUUUAACCUCCGAGCUAUGGAAAUGGAAUAAUUAAUAAUUUCUUGAUAGCCCAUUAAUCCUGUUUUUUUACUUGGUAGUUCCUGUUUCCCAAGAUUAUUGCUCCUUUUCCUUUUCCUUUUGAGCUAGUGUAUGGCAAUGGGCUAGCAUGUUUGUUGCUGCUUCUUUUUAGCGAGAUUGAUGGUAGCUUUUCUUACUUAGGGUUACAAUUUCCGUUCCAGGGGAAAGGGACUGCAGCUUUAGAGGCACACAACGGAUAGAGCUAAUGAAAAAGGAGAUUGAGCAUAAUCACCUAACGUUGUCUAAAAAUGGUCCAAAAGAUCUGUGGCCAAGUAUAUCCAACUAUGUCCUCCAGCUCUCAUCAUCAGAUGAUCCAGAAUCACCAGUUCUGUUCAUGUAUUUCCUAGACUCCGGUGGCGGAUCCUAUCCUGAAGUUAUUUCAAAUGCUCAAGCAGAAUGGUUCCAGCAUGUAUCCGAGGAGAUCAACCCUGAUUCAAGGUACAGGGGCUAUGGCCUGCCUUGAUUAGUCGUGGUAGAUCCGAAAGAUCUCAUGUAUAACCUACAUGAUAAGUAAAAGUGAUAAACCAAAUGGGGUCCCUAUUGAUCGUAUACACGGGAUGUGAAACAAUGCUGGUCUAAAAUUAUAUGGAACAAACUGGGAAUUUCAUUGAACAUGUGUUUUUUUUCCCUUUUUUAACAGGGUUCCUGAGGUUGUCUUUUGGCAUAUACCAAGCAAAGCUUACAAGAAAGUGGCUCCCAGGUUAAGGAUCCACAAGCCUUGUGUUGGUUCCAUGAACAAAGAAAAAGUUGCUGCUCAAGAAGCUGAAUUGGGUUUCAUGGACAUGCUAGUUAAACGGUCUUCUGUCAAGGUGAGUUCCUGCUCAAGAAACAACGUUCAAUGCUUAAAAUUAACUCAACACUUUCAACCCAUUGUGGAAGUUUGAAAAUUCAGGUAAUGGAGUAACUCCGGAGCAUUGUGUUCUAUAGUCUUUCUUCAAAAGUUGAAGGAAGGUUAUUGAACAAAUAACUUACAGUUCCAACGAGUUUUGACAACCCAAUAAAGAAGUAGGUUUUGAUGGCAGGGGGGCCAGAUAGAGGACGUGCUACCUGUGGAUAAGUUUUGUGGAAGUUGAAGCUCAAAUAAAGUUGUUCAUCUGCUUUAAAGUUUGACAAAGCCAAACGGGGGUCCCUAUUGAUCGUACUUCUUUGGAUUGUGGCAGGCAGUGUUUGCAGGACACAACCAUGGAUUGGACUGGUGCUGCCCCUACAAGAAACUUUGGCUAUGUUAUGCUAGGCAUACUGGUUAUGGUGGCUAUGGAAAUUGGCCGAGAGGAGCUAGAAUUCUGGAGAUUAAUGACCAGCCCUUCUAUAUCAAGUCAUGGAUAAAGAUGGAAGAUGGAGAUGAACACAGCCAAAUUAUCCUGAGUCCUUGACAGGUCACCUCUGCAAUGCCACUGUCUGUCAAUGGAGGGGAAAAAACCUCCUGCUAUCAACCUGUGUGUGAUGGUGGUAAUGCUCUCUUCCCCACCUCUUUAUCAGUAAAAGAAAUUCAACCUAAAUCUAGAUGUGUCCGGGAGUGUGGUUUUAGUUGUUUAAAAUACAAAAAUAAACAAAUAAUAAAACUAGCCAAAAUGGAUGAACGCGUUUAGACAUGGAAAAGGCUUGUCAAGCAUACCAUCCCACACAUGCUAGUGCUCACGUUAGCGUCUCCCAUCGCCGUAUAAGAAUUUCUGGGAAAUGAAAAGGAAUCGCUAGUCAACUAUUUUUUUAUAAAAAUAUAUUAAAAUGGGAUUCAGUUCUAUCAUGCACAAAAGACUAACAUUUGUUUUAAUAUAUUAAUCAUGAAAAAUAAUUUUUUUAUUAUAAAUCUAAGUUGAAGUUGUUUUUCAAAAACCACGUCAAACAUGCUCUAACUUGAGUAUUUGAAUCAAUUUAUAUUCACCUCGAUUAAUUUUACGGGUCCUGAAAUUAAUAAUAUAUAAACUUUUAAUAGUCUAAAAAAAAUUUAAACUCGUAAUAAUUAAAGAGUAAAUAUAAUGACUAACCAAUUAAUCUAUACCGUUAGAUAUCUCUUCUUCUUAUUUUAUGAUAAAAUGGGAAAAUGGGAUUUAUUACCUAAUCAAAAUAACUUUUUGUUGUUGUAAGAUAUGCCUUUACUUUAUUUUAUCGGGAAAGUCCUGUGAAAGAAGAAAUUUCUACCAGUUGUCAUGAAUUACUUUGAGGGAUUGUUCUCAGGAUUCGAAAUAUGGGAUUAUUCCCUCUCCAAGAAUAUCCUAUUGUCUUAUUAAAAUUUAAAAUGUUUCCCUCGUAAGAAUAUUAAAAUUUAAAUUUUCCUGGUACCACUUCCUAUUUUGGUACUCGCUAACAAAUCAUUUCUAGUUCGAGCAUGUUUAGAAAUCUAAUUAUAAUUAUUUUUAAAGUAAUUUUUUAUGUUAAAAUUUAUUAAAAUAAUAUUUUUUUUUAUUUUUUAAAAUUUAUUUUUAAAAUUAGCACAUUAAAAUAAUAAAAAUGAUACAAAAAAAAUUAAAUUUUUUUAAAACACAAGUACUACCCCGUUUCCUACACCUUUUAAAAUUUAAUUCCCACCAUUUAAAUUGAUCUGAUAAAAAUUAAAAUAAUAUAUUUUUAAUAAAAAUAAUUGAUUUCAUGACAUACUGAUUAAUCUAAUGAAUAAUAAUUCAGAUUUUUUUUUCCCCAGUAAAUUCCAGACCUGAUGUAACACGAAAUCUCAAACAUCAAAUUUUAACAAUGGACUAAAUCUCUCUAAUUUUGCAUUAGUUUUCUCAUUCUUAAUGAUUUCAAAUUAUGCUAAGCGAGGGAUGUUUCAGACAUUUAACACCCAAUCCCCACCGAACUAAACACCAAAAAACAGAAGAAAUGCAUAGUUCCUUCGACACCACUACCAGCAACCACCCCCAUCAUCCUUCACAAUAACAGCUCUCCGUUCUCCGAUAAUGAAACGACAUGCAGAUCCUCUAACCGUCUUGUCGUUCUGGUGCCUCCUUAUCCUCUUACUACCAAUCCUGACCGUCGGAUUUGCUGAUCGUCUACAAGCAUCCGACCCACCUCUCAGUCUGCUCAAAACGGCGCUGCAACAAGAACAAAAACCAGAGGGGAUAAAGAGCCUUCGGGUACGGGAGGGGGCACCGUUUAAGAUCGCGCUCUUUGCUGACUUGCAUUUUGGAGAGAACGCGUG
This 4740-nucleotide long non-coding RNA is filed under the name Populus tremula. Its description in RNAcentral is "long non-coding RNA (PTRE_LNC001165)". Lineage: Eukaryota; Viridiplantae; Streptophyta; Magnoliopsida; Malpighiales; Salicaceae. The record is from RNAcentral.